RNAcentral lists this long non-coding RNA (490 nucleotides) under Calidris pugnax (ruff). RNAcentral describes it as "lncRNA (ENSCPUG00000009051.1)". Lineage: Eukaryota; Metazoa; Chordata; Aves; Charadriiformes; Scolopacidae. The record is from RNAcentral.
AGUCAUGUGCUUAAGGUUAUUCAUGUACUUAAGAAUUGCACAAGAGGUGGCUUUUUCUCCAGAGGCUCACUAGUUAUUAGAGAGAGGAUACACAUAUAUACACACACACGUACUCCAGGCUAUACAUACAUCUGUGGAAGCCAUGCUCAGGAAUGACAACUACAUAUAAAACAAAGUCUUCGUAUAACAUAAGUUAUGACUUCUGAUUAUUUAAAAUUGGGAGAAGAUAACUGGAUAAAGGUUUGAAGUGACUUUAUAGUAAGAUUGCAGAUCAUCUGAUGAGAGAAGUGUGCUGAGAUUUACAGCUACCUUGCUAAAAUUUUCCUGCCUGUUAUGUUUUUUUUUUUUAAUUGCCGAGCAAACCAACAGUUUUCCUCCUUUCGAUUGUAAUCACUGUGCUAAAGAGGGAGGGAUCUCCAGUGCAGGAGGAAACAGCAUAGACCACCAGAGAAGAACUUCCUGUGUCUAACUCUGUGUUGUUGUAGAAGAC